AAUGACCCCCUAAGAUUCAUCUGUUGAAGGCCCAGUCCCCAAGGCAGCAAUGUUCAGAGUUGGGACUUUGGGGAGUUAAUUGAAUCACAAAUCACGAGGGCUUUAGCCUCAUCCAUGGAUUGAUCUGCUGAUAGAUUAGGAUUUUAAUGGCAUUGUUGGGAGGAGGUGGGAACUGUAGGAGGUGGGACCUCACUGGGUGAAGUAGGCCUCUGGGGCGUGCAUCCUGCGUGGUUACAGCUUGUCCCCACCCACUUCCCUGUGUUCUCUCUCUCUCUCUCUCUCUCUCUCUCUCUCUCUCUCUCUCUCUCUCUCUCCUUCCUGGCUGCCACGAGGAGACAGCUUUUCUCUGCUGCACCCUUCUGCCUUGAUGUCCUACUUCAUCUCAGGCCCAGGUUACCAGGGACCAAAACCUCUGAAAACAUUAACCUAAAUAAACCUUUCCUCCUCUAAGUUGUUUUUCUGAGAUAUUUUUUCACAAUGUUGGACAAGGGACUAACCUAGAUGUCCCCAGGACAGCAAUGUCUACCUUAAGGCUGCCUUGUUUUUAACCUUAGCAUUGCCUGUCCAAAUUCUGUUUUCUUAUUUUUAGCCUGGUGUGUCUUUACCAUCCCUCUACUUUCUAACAUUCUGCUCUGUCCUGUGUCGCAUUGUUUUGUUACAUGAUUCUUUCUACAUGUUUAGACCUUUUUUACAGACAAUAAUAUGAACUUGACAAACCUUUUCACAGAUUUUGAUAAUAUUUUUCAUAUUUCUUACUUUUUCAUCCUUUAAACACCAUUCAGGAUUCUGAGUGGGUAAGAAAAAAGGUAAAUAUUUCCUGGUGGAGAGACAGCAGAUAUUAU
RNAcentral lists this long non-coding RNA (842 nucleotides) under Marmota monax (woodchuck). The record is from RNAcentral. Lineage: Eukaryota; Metazoa; Chordata; Mammalia; Rodentia; Sciuridae.